Molecule: ribosomal RNA, 644 nt
Filed under: uncultured Bacteroidales bacterium
Lineage: Bacteria; Pseudomonadati; Bacteroidota; Bacteroidia; Bacteroidales
Description: bacterial SSU rRNA
Rfam family: Bacterial small subunit ribosomal RNA
Source: RNAcentral
UGCUUUGAUGGAUGGCGACCGGCGCACGGGUGAGUAACACGUAUCCAACCUGCCGACAACACUGGGAUAGCCUUUCGAAAGAAAGAUUAAUACCGGAUGGUAUAGUUUUCCCGCAUGGGAUGAUUAUUAAAGAAUUUCGGUUGUCGAUGGGGAUGCGUUCCAUUAGGCAGUUGGCGGGGUAACGGCCCACCAAACCUACGAUGGAUAGGGGUUCUGAGAGGAAGGUCCCCCACAUUGGAACUGAGACACGGUCCAAACUCCUACGGGAGGCAGCAGUGAGGAAUAUUGGUCAAUGGACGAGAGUCUGAACCAGCCAAGUAGCGUGAAGGAUGACUGCCCUAUGGGUUGUAAACUUCUUUUAUACGGGAAUAAAGUGAGCCACGUGUGGCUUUUUGUAUGUACCGUAUGAAUAAGGAUCGGCUAACUCCGUGCCAGCAGCCGCGGUAAUACGGAGGAUCCGAGCGUUAUCCGGAUUUAUUGGGUUUAAAGGGCGCGUAGGCGGGUUGUUAAGUCAGUUGUGAAAGUUUGCGGCUCAACCGUAAAAUUGCAGUUGAUACUGGCGACCUUGAGUGCAACAGAGGUAGGCGGAAUUCGUGGUGUAGCGGUGAAAUGCUUAGAUAUCACGAAGAACUCCGAUUGCGAAG